UCGAACGGCAGCGGGGGCUUCGGCCUGCCGGCGAGUGGCGAACGGGUGAGUAAUGCAUCGGAACGUACCCAGUCGUGGGGGAUAACUACGCGAAAGCGUAGCUAAUACCGCAUACGCCCUGAGGGGGAAAGCGGGGGACCUUCGGGCCUCGCGCGAUUGGAGCGGCUGAUGUCGGAUUAGCUAGUUGGUGGGGUAAAGGCCUACCAAGGCGACGAUCCGUAGCUGGUCUGAGAGGAUGAUCAGCCACACUGGGACUGAGACACGGCCCAGACUCCUACGGGAGGCAGCAGUGGGGAAUUUUGGACAAUGGGCGCAAGCCUGAUCCAGCCAUGCCGCGUGAGUGAAGAAGGCCUUCGGGUUGUAAAGCUCUUUCAGACGGAAAGAAAUCGGGCGCGUGAAUAGCGUGCCUGGAUGACGGUACUGUCAGAAGAAGCACCGGCUAACUACGUGCCAGCAGCCGCGGUAAUA
This 468-nucleotide ribosomal RNA is filed under the name uncultured bacterium. Its description in RNAcentral is "bacterial SSU rRNA". It matches the Rfam family "Bacterial small subunit ribosomal RNA", at positions 62 to 525 of the family's 1533-position model. The record is from RNAcentral.